RNAcentral lists this long non-coding RNA (1880 nucleotides) under Sinocyclocheilus grahami. RNAcentral describes it as "lncRNA (ENSSGRG00000013318.1)". Lineage: Eukaryota; Metazoa; Chordata; Actinopteri; Cypriniformes; Cyprinidae. The record is from RNAcentral.
AUGACGCUCAGUUGUAACGUAAAUAAAAACCGGGAACUCAUUCGUCAGGCAAAGCAUAGAAACGGAUGUUGCUGCUGCAGACGCCCUUUGUUACCAUAGCAAUAUGGAUAGUUGUGGCGGCGCAGAGCUAGAGCUCCUGCUAUGCCUGAGCUAGGUAGCUUAGCUAACCUAAACGUUAAAUACCAACUAUUUUAGACAUAUUCCGCAACUCCCUUGGAGAGCAGCUGCUGUGUAUUUGGACUUUUACACAGUUCCGGUCAUCUGUACUUAUGACAGGAACAUAAAAUAAAACAAUAUUCGCUGUGCAAGCUAACCGAAGUAAAUACUUGCCUCUUCAUUAAUUCUUGGGCUGAUAUACACCUGAAGAUUUGCUUAACAGGAUGUCGAGUGUUUCAGUGCCCUGUUGUUCAACAUCUGCUUCGUAACCAUGCAGGAAGCUGUGGACCUGGAGGCCCAGCUGGCUUGAAAAGAAAGAGAAUGGAACAAACUUCAGGCUUUGCGGAUUUGACAACUGGAGACCGCUCUAAACGAAGCCACAUCAGAGCUGUCCACCCAGAGAGAGCGUUUCCUCCGCUUGCGGGAUGACUUCAAGUAUAAUCUACGUGUGUUGGAGGAGAGGGACACAGAGCUGGAGCGUUAUGAUGCCUUGGCAGCCCGCGCUCAGACGGAAGAGAGUGCCAGGCGGGAAGAGGUCAGUGAGCUGAGGAUUGAGAUAGCAAAACUUCAGGAUGACCUGGAGAAUCAGCGAAGGGUGAAGGAGGACAUAGAAGUGCAAUAUCAGAAAUCUCUUUUUGCCUGCAUUAUUAGGUUAAACAAUAUCAAUUAAAUACAGUGAAUCUUGUAAAUUGCAAUCCACAACAGGAAAUGAAGGCAGAUUUUGACAGUGAGAUGAGGAAGCGGGAGCAUGAAUUCCAUCUGAAGCUGGAUGAAAUGAACAGUGUAGUUCUCUCACACGAGCUCAACGAAAAGCUAUUGAGCAAAGAGCUGGAAGUCCACGCCAAAGCUCACAGUCAGGCCACCGGGGCCCUGCAGGCCUCUGAAGAACUUUACCAGCAGGCUCAAAAAGAGAUCCAACGCAGAGACUGUGACUUAAAGAACACCACUGCAAUGAAAGACUCCAGGUAAACUGACGUGUGUGCUGAAAAGCUUUUCUUUUUGAAUUUUGAAUAUAAGAAGAUCAAUCAUGAUUACUGUUUUACAGGAUAAAAGAGUUUGAAGACAAACUAAAACAAAUGGAGAGCAAUUAUAAAAAAGAGCAAGCCUACAACAGCAAGUACUACAGCUAGAGUUUGAGAUACCUUGUCAUAAAGUAUACCCUUGUCAAAUCCAGUUAUUACACAUAAAGAUACAGUAAACACAAAUGACAACAAUAUUUUUAGAUCCUAAUGACCACUCAAAAAAACAGGAAGUCAUAAACCUUUCUUUGGUAGAUUAAUAUGCAUAGCUCAGAUUAUUCUGGGUAGGCCAGCAUGUCUUGCUCUGGAUGUUUUGAAAUUUGAUAUAUGCAGACAUUCAGAGUAGGAACGAAGGUCUCGGGAGAAAGAGGAUGCUUUGGGUCUCAUGAGAGAGGCUCAUACCAGGGAGCUCCAAGAGAUCUUAGAAUUGCAAGCCCAACUGGACAGGAUGACUCUGGAACAGGAGAGGAGAGAAAAGAGCUAUAUGGAUGACCUUCAUCACCGAGACCAGCAGAUACAAGAGUAAGACAAAAAGUAUUGAAAUUACUAUUCACAGAAAUGUUCUGUGGUUAAUUUUUACUUGCCAAGAAAUACUUCAGCUGUUUGGAGUACAUAUUAUUGCAUAAAGAUUUUUAUUUUUCAUGAAAUUUGAAAUUGUCCAUUUGUAUAUAUGAAAGGGAGAUGCAUUAUGCGACUCCUGCUGAU